AGGAUGAACGCUGGCGGCGUGCUUAACACAUGCAAGUCGAACGGUGAAGUGAGGAGCUUGCUCCUUGCGGAUCAGUGGCGAACGGGUGAGUAACACGUGAGUAACCUGCCCUUGACUCUGGGAUAAGCGUUGGAAACGACGUCUAAUACCGGAUAUUACACCGGCUGGCAUCGGCUGGUGUGGAAAGAUUUAUCGGCUAAGGAUGGACUCGCGGCCUAUCAGCUUGUUGGUGGGGUAGAAGCCUACCAAGGCGACGACGGGUA
RNAcentral lists this ribosomal RNA (263 nucleotides) under uncultured bacterium. RNAcentral describes it as "partial small subunit ribosomal RNA". It matches the Rfam family "Bacterial small subunit ribosomal RNA", at positions 26 to 285 of the family's 1533-position model. The record is from RNAcentral.